RNAcentral lists this ribosomal RNA (150 nucleotides) under uncultured Leptolinea sp. Its description in RNAcentral is "partial 16S ribosomal RNA". It matches the Rfam family "Bacterial small subunit ribosomal RNA", at positions 1232 to 1382 of the family's 1533-position model. The record is from RNAcentral. Lineage: Bacteria; Bacillati; Chloroflexota; Anaerolineae; Anaerolineales; Anaerolineaceae.
GGAAGGACAAUAGGUUGCGAAACCGCGAGGUGGAGCCAAUCCUCAAAGUCUGUCUCAGUUCAGAUUGUAGGCUGCAACUCGCCUGCAUGAAGUUGGAGUUGCUAGUAAACGCAGGUCAGCUAUACUGCGUUGAAUACGUUCCCGGGGUUU